Molecule: ribosomal RNA, 643 nt
Filed under: uncultured bacterium
Lineage: Bacteria
Description: bacterial SSU rRNA
Rfam family: Bacterial small subunit ribosomal RNA
Source: RNAcentral
GCUCACCGUGGAGGGGCAUUGGAUACUGGGAAACUUGAGUGUGAAAGAGGAUUGUGGAUUCCAUGUGUAGCGGUGAAAUGCGCAGAUAUAUGGAGGAACACCGGUGGGAAGGCGACUUUCUGGUCUGUUCUGACGCUGAUGUGCGAAAGCGUGGGGAUCAAACAGGAUUAAAUACCCUGGGUAUCCCCGCCUGUAACGAUGAGUGCUAAGUGUUGGGGGUUUCCGCCCCUUAUGGCUGCAGCUAACGCAUUAAGCACUCCGCCGGGGGAGUACGACCGCAAGGUUGAAAACUCAAAGGAUUUGACGGGGGACCCGCACAAGCGGUGGAGCAUGUGGUUUUAAUUCGAAGCAACGCGCAAAAACCUUACCAAAUCUUGACAUCCUUUGACCACUCUAGAGAUGUUUGUUUCCCCCUUCGGACCACUAAGUGACAGUGUGGUGCGUGGUGUGUCGUCCUCUCGUGUCGUGAUAUGUGUGGUUUAACUCGCGCCGAGAGCGCCACCCUUAUUCAUAUGUGAUCUCGUUGGGCUGGGCACUCUAGGUUGACUGCCGGUGACAAACCGGAGGAAGGUGGGGAUGACGUCAAAUCAUCAUGCCCCUUAUGAUUUGGGCUACACACGUGCUACAAUGGACAAUGACAGUG